CGCAAAUGAAAGGGUUGCUUGUCAAGACAGGGAAAGAAGGAAACAGUGCUAUUGGCCCAGCUUUUACUUGUAUUAUACAACUUCUAGAGGAUCCUAAGAUGCAAACCUAUCUGGACCUCCAAGAGACCAGCAUUUCCAUAACUGUGCAUACCAUACCUAGAUAUUAACUACUUCCUCCUAAUUUGGUGUCUUCUGCAAAUUUGAUAAACAUGCCACCUAUUCCAUCAUCCAAGUAAUUGAUAAUGGUGUUGAACAGCACUAGGCCCAGAAGAGAACCCCAUGGCACUCCACUAGUCAUGUCUCUCCAGGAU
This is a long non-coding RNA of Sceloporus undulatus (fence lizard), 311 nucleotides long. RefSeq lists it as uncharacterized. Lineage: Eukaryota; Metazoa; Chordata; Lepidosauria; Squamata; Phrynosomatidae. The transcript has 3 exons. The record is from RefSeq and is a predicted model, not a curated record.